RNAcentral lists this ribosomal RNA (394 nucleotides) under uncultured bacterium. RNAcentral describes it as "partial 16S ribosomal RNA". It matches the Rfam family "Bacterial small subunit ribosomal RNA", at positions 338 to 729 of the family's 1533-position model. The record is from RNAcentral.
CCUACGGGAGGCAGCAGUGAGGAAUAUUGGUCAAUGGGCGUAAGCCUGAACCAGCCAAGUCGCGUGAGGGAUGAAGGUUCUAUGGAUCGUAAACCUCUUUUAUAAGGGAAUAAAUUGCGGCUCGUGUCCCGUUUUGCAUGUACCUUAUGAAUAAGGAUCGGCUAACUCCGUGCCAGCAGCCGCGGUAAUACGGAGGGUCCGAGCGUUAUCCGGAUUUAUUGGGUUUAACGGGUGCGUCGGCGGGCUUUUAAGUCAGCGGUGAAAGUCUGUGGCUCAACCGUAGAAUUGCCGUUGAAACUGGGAGGCUUGAGUAUGUUUGAGGCAGGCGGAAUGCGUGGUGUAGCGGUGAAAUGCUUAGAUAUCACGCAGAACCCCGAUUGCGAAGGCAGCCUGC